GUGAGUCUAGAGAGAGUGUGGGCGGGGCAUGGUGAGUCUGGAGAGAGUGUGGGCGGGGCAUGGUGAGUCUGAAGGAAGUGUGGGCGGGUGGGGAGGUUGGAGGGUUUAUUUCCAGUAUGUGUGAAGGUUCUCUGUCAUCCAGGUCAUGGUUUAUCCAAAGACGUUUGUCCACUCAUCCAAGUGGUUUCCAGUCAUCUGUAAAUUGGUUUAAACUAGAAUCUAAAACUUCUCUCAACAUUUUCUCCUGAAAUUGAACGACCUGGUCUGACUCCUGGUCGCUCAUUGAGUGUAAUUUAAUCUGCAGACACGGGUUGAACGACUGUUUCCAUGGAGGGUACGUCUUUAUGCUGCCUACAUCCACUGAGUUUAAUCUGCUCUAGUUGUGUUUUAUAUUCACAUGUCUCCUGUGAGACUGGUGUUACCCUCAUUAUCAUCAUUAUCAAAUCCCAAGGGGAGAUCCCAACUCUUUUACUCUGACACCAGAAAAUUAUAAAUUCCUUUUGGAAAUAUAAUCUGGAUGUGACGAACCACAGAUCUGUAGGUAUCUUCAGGUAUCUGCAGGUAUCUUCAGGUAUCUACAGGUAUCUUCAGGUAUCUGUAGGUAUCUACAGGUAUCUUCUUGUUUCUGUUAAUUCCUGAGGGUCCGAUGUUCAAUGGUUCUCUACUGAAACUUGACAGCACUUAAAACAAACUGGUGUUACGUCCUUGUCGGACAAGGUCUAGAGGGGGUGGGGGGUGGGGUUGGGGUGUGGUCUGAAUACGACGCUGCCUUCAGGUCACUUGGGAAAGACUGUAAACCUGAGCCUCUUACUUGAAAACAGCCUCCGCCUCAGCUCCUGAACUGUGGACUGGACUGGAGACUGAGUCCAGGUCUCAGGAGGGUGGUGGAGGUCCAGUGUAGCCGUGGUGGACUCAUUUCAAAUAAAAACAGUUUUCAGAGAGCA
Mugil cephalus (flathead mullet) is the source of this 944-nucleotide long non-coding RNA. RefSeq lists it as uncharacterized. NCBI's taxonomy places the organism in Eukaryota, Metazoa, Chordata, Actinopteri, Mugiliformes, Mugilidae. The record is from RefSeq and is a predicted model, not a curated record. The transcript has 2 exons.